RNAcentral lists this ribosomal RNA (300 nucleotides) under uncultured bacterium. RNAcentral describes it as "bacterial SSU rRNA". It matches the Rfam family "Bacterial small subunit ribosomal RNA", at positions 30 to 332 of the family's 1533-position model. The record is from RNAcentral.
AUUGAACGCUGGCGGCAUGCCUUACACAUGCAAGUCGAACGGCAGCACGGGAGCAAUCCUGGUGGCGAGUGGCGAACGGGUGAGUAAUAUAUCGGAACGUGCCCAGUCUGGGGAUAACGUAGCGAAAGCUACGCUAAUACCGCAUACGAUCUAUGGAUGAAAGCGGGGGAUCGCAAGACCUCGCGCGAUUGGAGCGGCCGAUAUCAGAUUAGGUAGUUGGUGAGGUAAAGGCGUCACCAAGCCGACGAUCUGUAGCUGGUCUGAGAGGACGACCAGCCACACUGGACUGAGACACGGCCC